AAUUCGAGGCUACACGAGAACCUUACAGGGUUUGACAUGCAAGUGGUAGGAAUCCGAAAGGUGACCGACCCUUCGGGGAGCUUGCACAGGUGCUGCAUGGCUGUCGUCAGCUCGUGUCGUGAGAUGUUCGGUUAAGUCCGCUAACGAGCGCAACCCUCGUCGUGUGUUAUACGUGUCACACGAUACUGCCGGUAUCAAGCCGGAGGAAGGUGGGGAUGAUGUCAAGUCAGCAUGGCCUUUAUAUCCUGGGCUACACACACGCUACAAUGGCAGAUACAAUAGGUUGCGAAACCGCGAGGUGGAGCCAAUCCUCAAAGUCUGUCUCAGUUCAGAUUGUAGGCUGCAACUCGCCUGCAUGAAGUUGGAGUUGCUAGUAAACGCAGGUCAGCUAUACUGCGUUGAAUACGUUCCCGGGGUUU
RNAcentral lists this ribosomal RNA (419 nucleotides) under uncultured Leptolinea sp. Its description in RNAcentral is "bacterial SSU rRNA". It matches the Rfam family "Bacterial small subunit ribosomal RNA", at positions 948 to 1382 of the family's 1533-position model. Lineage: Bacteria; Bacillati; Chloroflexota; Anaerolineae; Anaerolineales; Anaerolineaceae. The record is from RNAcentral.